This 1869-nucleotide long non-coding RNA is filed under the name Junco hyemalis (dark-eyed junco). Its description in RNAcentral is "lncRNA (ENSJHYG00000010066.1)". The record is from RNAcentral. Lineage: Eukaryota; Metazoa; Chordata; Aves; Passeriformes; Passerellidae.
CUGAACAAUUUAUGAAAUACAGAUCAAUACAUAUAUAUAGUAUAUGUGUUGAUAUAAAUAUAUAAAAAUAUAUAUCAUAUAUUGUAUUUAUAUACAAACCCUCCACAUUCUGGAAUUUCCUGCUCACCCUUCAGCUUUCAAACCCCUCCAGGAAAGCCACAUUUCCCCUGGGCUGGGCUGACCCUCCCCAGUCCCCAAGGAUGGGUUUGGGCUGUUUGAGCUGCCCCUGCCCCGUUUCCCCCCAGAGUUCCCGGCCCCGGAGGCGCUGGAGGUGCAGCAGGAGCAGCAGAGCAGGGUCCUGGUGCGGUGGCAGCGCCCCCAGCCCAGCCAGAGCCCCCUGCUCUGGUUCAUCCUGGAGUGGCUGUCGGGCCCCCAGCACGGCCUGCAGGAGCAGCACAGCUGGGAGAGAAUCCCAAAACACCAAACUCACACCUACAUCCCAGGGACAGCGGCUCCCCGGCAGGUGUGGCUGUACGCGGUGUAUCCCGGCGGGAUCAGCGCUCCCCGCUCCAGCCCAGGUGAGCCUCACUGCCCAGGAUGGGGGGAAAUUGCUGCUGCUGCUCCCCUUGGGGACCCCUCGGGCUGGGAACAGAGCACACCCUCCCACCCAGCACGGCAAGGAAAGGAUAAAAUGCAUUUAAUCAAUGUAUUGGUGUCAGACCCACCUCCAGCAGGUCUUUGCUCCCUGCACAGAGCCAGAACAGCCCAGAACCUCAUUUCCCAUCAGCAGAGGCACCUGUGGGAUCAUUGUCCCUUUCCAGUGCAGAAAAGCGAGGUUGUACCUGCAGAACUCACAAUAAGAUGUUGCAGAUAAACCAAAACACAGCAAAGAGCUUUUCCAGGGAGCAGCUGGGCAGAGCCAGCCUGCCCUUCCUAGCUGGAGUGGGAGGCACAGAGCCCUGGGAGGGACAUCUGCAGCUGGGUCAGUGUUGGGGAGGGUUUGGGGAAGGAAAACCUCAUUUGCAGCACUGGGGGUGGCUUUGGGUGCCCUCAGAGCUGGGCAGGAGGGUGAGGCCAAGCUGUGACACCAGAGCAGGGUCUGAGUGCCAGAACCAGCCCAGCACCAGCCCAGCACCAGCCCAGGCUGAGGGCCAGGGCUGGGUUUAAAUAGAGCCUGCCCAGGGGCCAGGUGGGGCUGGGCAGGACCAUCAAGGGCUGUCAGAGCCCAAAGUACCUGCAGGUGACACCUGAGAGUGUCCCCAGCUCCUGGCUCUGAUGCCACCUGAGAUGGGCCCUCUGUGGCUGCUCAGGGGUUUCUCCUGGGCCAGAGCAGCCCCGUGGCCCUGCAGCCGCCCCUGGAGCAGGGCAGCUGUUCCCAGGAAAUGCAAGCAGACAUUCCUGGCCCAGGAAAUGCAAGCAGACAUUCCUAGAUGGGUGUCCCAAGUUGGCCCUGGCUGUGGGUACUCAGGGCAGGGCUCUCCUCUGUGGCACCAAAUCAGGGACAAGGGAUCCCAAGGGAAUUGCUGAACUGGCCAGGAUCAGAGGGAAUUGCUGAACUGGCCUGGAUCAAAGCUGGCUGCUUAUCUCAGCAGAAAGAGGCUUCUUGCCAUGGCAGGGCCUCCAGCUGCAGAUCUUCCCCCACUGCAUGGAAAUAAUCAGGGAAUCCAUUCCCAAAGGGUGCAGGCACUUUGGGAAUCACAGAAUCCCACAAUGGGCUGGGUUGGGAGGGACUCAAAGCCCACCCAGUGCCACCCCUGCCAUGGCAGGGACACCUCCCACUGUCCCAGGGUGCUCCAGCCUGGCCUGGGACACUCCAGGGAUCCACAACUUCUCUGGAAAAGCUGUUAAAUAACCUGGGAGUGCUUGUGAAAAAUUAUAGAGCUCACCAGGGGGAAUAAAUCCUUGUUUAGGGUGCUGAGGGGAGGGAGG